UGAGGAAUAUUGGUCAAUGGGCGGAAGCCUGAACCAGCCAAGUCGCGUGAGGGAAGACGGUCCUAUGGAUUGUAAACCUCUUUUGCAGGGGAGCGAGGCACGGUACGUGUACCGUGAAGGAGAGUACCCUGAGAAAAAGCAUCGGCUAACUCCGUGCC
This 158-nucleotide ribosomal RNA is filed under the name uncultured bacterium. RNAcentral describes it as "partial 16S ribosomal RNA". It matches the Rfam family "Bacterial small subunit ribosomal RNA", at positions 355 to 509 of the family's 1533-position model. The record is from RNAcentral.